UACGUAGGGUGCGAGCGUUGUCCGGAAUCACUGGGCGUAAAGGGCGCGUAGGCGGCCUGAUAAGUAGGGGGUGAAAUCCUGCGGCUUAACCGCAGGGCUGCCUUCUAAACUGUCGGGCUCGAGCACAGUAGAGGCAGGUGGAAUUCCCGGUGUAGCGGUGGAAUGCGUAGAGAUCGGGAAGAACAUCAGUGGCGAAGGCGGCCUGCUGGGCUGUUGCUGACGCUGAGGCACGAAAGCUAGGGGAGCAAACAGG
Molecule: ribosomal RNA, 253 nt
Filed under: uncultured bacterium
Lineage: Bacteria
Description: partial 16S ribosomal RNA
Rfam family: Bacterial small subunit ribosomal RNA
Source: RNAcentral